This 756-nucleotide unclassified non-coding RNA is filed under the name Hevea brasiliensis (rubber tree). The record is from RNAcentral. Lineage: Eukaryota; Viridiplantae; Streptophyta; Magnoliopsida; Malpighiales; Euphorbiaceae.
GGCGGCGGCCAUCUCGAAGAAAGUGGGACGGGUCCCUUGUCCUCCUACUUGAAAUAACAUUUUUCUUCUCUUCUUCUUCUUUCUUUCUUUCCUCUUCUUCCAAGAAUCAAGUCUUCGAAACAGAGACGAAGAAGAAGAAGAAGAAAGAGUUUGCAAGAAAUGGGAGAUUGCAGACCAUUGGGGUUCUUGCUGGGCCUGCCAUUUGCUUUGGUUGCUCUGCUUUUGUCUCUUGUUGGUGCUGUUGUCUGGAUCAUUGGGUAUGUUCUCUUCCAAAUCUGAAAAUUUUUCUUUCCCCUUUUCCCUUUUCACUACUAAUUUUGAUCCUUUAGAAGAAAAACCCAGAUCAUAAUUUUACAGAUUUUCAUAAAUUUGUGUUUAAAUAGCUUGAUUGGGUGACUGAUCUCCGAUUUUUUCUUCUCCAAUGGCAGGACUAUAUUCAGUUGCUUGUGCCCAUGUUGUGUAUGUUGUGCUGGUCUGGCGAAUUUUGCAGUGGAUCUCAUAAAGCUGCCUUUCAAAAUACUUAAAUGGUUCACUGAUCAGAUCCCUUGUUGAUAUCCAAGAAAUUCAUGAUGAUACUCAUUUGCUUCUUUUUUCUUUCAUUUUUUUUUUUCUGGUUUUAUAGAUUUUAUUAACUCUGUAAUUUCAUUAGUUUUUGUUAUGGAUUAUAUUGCUUUCUAGGAUUGUUGGGGUGUUGGAUUUUGGCUCUUAUUUGUAUUGGAUUUGUUUAUUAUUGAAGAAUUUGUUUUGUUGAUAAAA